RNAcentral lists this ribosomal RNA (482 nucleotides) under uncultured bacterium. RNAcentral's name for it is "partial 16S ribosomal RNA". It matches the Rfam family "Bacterial small subunit ribosomal RNA", at positions 29 to 507 of the family's 1533-position model. The record is from RNAcentral.
AUUGAACGCUGGCGGCAUGCCUUACACAUGCAAGUCGAACGGUAACGGGCCUUCGGGUGCCGACGAGUGGCGAACGGGUGAGUAAUACAUCGGAACGUGCCCGAUCGUGGGGGAUAACGAGGCGAAAGCUUUGCUAAUACCGCAUACGAUCUACGGAUGAAAGCAGGGGACCGCAAGGCCUUGCGCGGACGGAGCGGCCGAUGGCGGAUUAGGUAGUUGGUGGGAUAAAAGCUUACCAAGCCGACGAUCUGUAGCUGGUCGGAGAGGAUGAUCAGCCACAUGGGGAGUGAAACAGGGCCAAGACUCCUGCGGGAGGCAGCAGGGGGGAAUUUGGGACAGUGGGCGCAAGCCUGAUCCAGCCAGGCCGCGUGCAGGAUAAAGGCCUUGGGGUUGUAAACUGGUUUUGUGGGGAACAAAAAGCCUUCUUUUAAUACGGGGGGGUAAUGACGGUACCGUAAAAAUAAGCACCGGCUAACUACGUG